This 544-nucleotide long non-coding RNA is filed under the name Physcomitrium patens. RNAcentral describes it as "long non-coding RNA (PPAT_LNC007277)". Lineage: Eukaryota; Viridiplantae; Streptophyta; Bryopsida; Funariales; Funariaceae. The record is from RNAcentral.
GCAAGUAUAAUCAAACAUCAAUCAAAUUCAAUCAAAAUUAUAAAGGAAGUAUGUAAAAAAUGCAAGGUAUUUUUAAAGACCCUUUAAAGAAACCAUAAAGAAAUAACAUAGAAAUUCAAAAAUAUACUAAAAUAUAAAUCUUAAUAAAAUAUUAAAAUAGAAGUCUUAAUUAAAUCCUAAUCAAAUUCUAAUCAAAUCCUAAUCAAAUUCUAAUCAAAACUUAAUCAAAUCUUAAUCAAAUCAUAAUCAAAUCCUAAUCAAAUCUUAAUCAAAAUCUAAUAAAAUCUUAACCAAUUCCUCACUAAAUCCUAAUCAAAUUAUAACCAAAUCCUAAUCAAAUCUAAAUAAAUCCUAAUUAAAUCUUAAUAAAUCCUAAUCAAAUCCUAAAAAAACCUUAAUCAAAUCUUAACCAAAUCCUAGUCAAAUCCUAACCAAACCCUAAUCAAUUAUAAAUAAAUCCUAGUCAAAUCUUAAACAAAUCCUAAUCAACUCCUAAUAAAUCCUAAAAAAAUCAUAAAUAAAUAUAAAAAAACUUAAAUAAACC